This 209-nucleotide unclassified non-coding RNA is filed under the name soil metagenome. RNAcentral describes it as "partial contains 5.8S ribosomal RNA, internal transcribed spacer 2, and large subunit ribosomal RNA". The record is from RNAcentral.
AACGGUCUAUACCUGCGGUACCUGCGGAAGGAUCAUUACCGAGUUAUACAACUCAUCAACCCCUGUGAACUUACCUACAACGUUGCUUCGGCGGGAACAGACGGCCCCGUAAAACGGGCCGCCCCCGCCAGAGGACCCCUAACUCUGUUUUUAUAAUGUUUUUCUGAGUAAACAAGCAAAUAAAUUAAAACUUUCAACAAUGGAUCUCU